CCUUUGCUGUUCUCAAGGCUGGCACUGAGGUUGGUAAAAGUUCCAAGCAGGGCUCCAACACCGGAACAAACCUUUCUCCAAUCCCUGAAGCUGUACAGCUAUACUUUACCGGUUACGUCUAGACUAUAAAGGACCACAGUGUUCCACCUCAGGCAGGUUCAGCGACCUGCAAGUAGUGAUACAGCUGGGAAAGUUACAGAGCCUGCGGGAAGCUCCGGCUGCAACUUCAGUUCUGACCAGAGGUUCUGUGAACCUUCAGGAUUUAGCAGGUUUCCAGGACCGGUGGGUGAAUCUACCCGGGGAAGUUUUGGUGGACAAGAGCUGCUCGCCAGCUGUCGGAGUGGGAGAGGCCAGCGUGCUGGCUCCAUCCACUUCACCUAACACCUCUGAAGUGUCUGCCCUGCAGUGUGGCAAGCGUGGUGCUGAGCGCUUCUAAAUCCGUCGCUUUAAAGAUCAUUAGUACAAUGUUGUGAGAGGGUUAGCUCCAUUUGAAAAUUAUUUUCCCGUGAUUACAAAAGAAGCGAUGCUGACUGCAGAAGUUAGAACUGGGAGAAGACUCAUCACCCCCAUGAUCAUGUCAACAACUGCCCUCCUUCAGUUUUGGUUUGUUUUGUGUGUACACUCUGUCAUCUUUCCAUUGAGGAAACUCAGGCUAGAAGAAGGAUAAAAACAAAACAGAAAACAAAACAAAACAAAAGUGCCCUGUAGGGUCCUGUAGGUCAGUGUUUCUCACAUUUUAAUGUGGUUGCGGUUCUGAUACAGUGGGUCUGGGGC
Molecule: long non-coding RNA, 774 nt
Organism: Homo sapiens (human)
Lineage: Eukaryota; Metazoa; Chordata; Mammalia; Primates; Hominidae
Gene: PDZRN3-AS1
Product: PDZRN3 antisense RNA 1
Source: Ensembl